This 115-nucleotide transfer RNA is filed under the name Sclerotinia sclerotiorum 1980 UF-70. Its description in RNAcentral is "tRNA-Leu for anticodon AAG". It matches the Rfam family "tRNA". From Rfam's summary of the family: Transfer RNA (tRNA) molecules are approximately 80 nucleotides in length. The record is from Rfam by way of RNAcentral. Lineage: Eukaryota; Fungi; Ascomycota; Leotiomycetes; Helotiales; Sclerotiniaceae.
GGUGAGAUGGCCGAGUUGGUCUAAGGCGCCAGGUUAAGGUUUACAGCUCUUAACACAAGAUUAUCGUAAUCUCCUGGUCUAGUAAUAGGCGUGGGUUCGAAUCCCACUCUCAUCA